GUGCUCGCUUCGGCAGCACAUAUACUAAGAUUGGAACGAUACAGAGAUUAGCAUGGCUCCUGCGCAAGGAUGACAGGCAGAUUCGUGAAGCGUUCCAUAUUUUU
This 104-nucleotide small nuclear RNA is filed under the name Jaculus jaculus (lesser Egyptian jerboa). The record is from RNAcentral. Lineage: Eukaryota; Metazoa; Chordata; Mammalia; Rodentia; Dipodidae.